AAAAUUAUGGUAUGUUUGAGACAUCAUUAGAAGGUCAGAGUACCUAGUCCUUUUUUAAUUUAGUUUUUGGAUUAGAAAAUAUAGCCAGGUGAUUGCUAGCACUGGAAAAAUAUAGAGAGGAAUAAAAUAUAGGGUACA
Long non-coding RNA from Suncus etruscus (white-toothed pygmy shrew), 138 nucleotides. RefSeq lists it as uncharacterized. The record is from RefSeq and is a predicted model, not a curated record. The transcript has 2 exons. Lineage: Eukaryota; Metazoa; Chordata; Mammalia; Eulipotyphla; Soricidae.